Molecule: ribosomal RNA, 256 nt
Filed under: Paenibacillus polymyxa
Lineage: Bacteria; Bacillati; Bacillota; Bacilli; Caryophanales; Paenibacillaceae
Description: 16S rRNA. Bacterial SSU
Rfam family: Bacterial small subunit ribosomal RNA
Source: RNAcentral
CUUUAAUGGAGAGUUUGAUCCUGGCUCAGGACGAACGCUGGCGGCGUGCCUAAUACAUGCAAGUCGAGCGGGGUUAGUUAGAAGCUUGCUUCUAAUUGACCUAGCGGCGGACGGGUGAGUAACACGUAGGCAACCUGCCCACAAGACAGGGAUAACUACCGGAAACGGUAGCUAAUACCCGAUACAUCCUUUUCCUGCAUGGGAGAAGGAGGAAAGGCGGAGCAAUCUGUCACUUGUGGAUGGGCCUGCGGCGCAU